RNAcentral lists this ribosomal RNA (520 nucleotides) under uncultured Glomus. Its description in RNAcentral is "SSU rRNA". It matches the Rfam family "Eukaryotic small subunit ribosomal RNA", at positions 569 to 1092 of the family's 1831-position model. The record is from RNAcentral. Lineage: Eukaryota; Fungi; Glomeromycota; Glomeromycetes; Glomerales; Glomeraceae.
AGCAGCCGCGGUAAUUCCAGCUCCAAUAGCGUAUAUUAAAGUUGCUGCAGUUAAAAAGCUCGUAGUUGAAUUUCGGGACUAAUAUGUCGGUCGUGCCUCGGUACGUACUGGUUUAUUGGUUUCUCCUUUCUGAAGAACCAUGAUGUCAUUUAUUUGGUGUCGUGGGGAAUCAGGACUGUUACUUUGAAAAAAUUAGAGUGUUUAAAGCAGGCUCACGCUUGAAUACAUUAGCAUGGAAUAAUGAAAUAGGACGUUUGAUUCUAUUUUGUUGGUUUCUGGGAUCGACGUAAUGAUUAAUAGGGAUAGUUGGGGGCAUUAGUAUUCAAUUGUCAGAGGUGAAAUUCUUGGAUUUAUUGAAGACUAACUACUGCGAAAGCAUUUGCCAAGGAUGUUUUCAUUAAUCAAGAACGAAAGUUAGGGGAUCGAAGACGAUCAGAUACCGUCGUAGUCUUAACCAUAAACUAUGCCGACUAGGGAUCGGAUGAUGUUAAUUUUUUAAUGACUCAUUCGGCGCCUUACG